ACAGAAUAACACCUCCGAGCCGUCAAGACCUAAAGCGCGUUACGCAAUGGUCUCCGGCCGAUAGGGUAUCUCCGGAAACGGGGAUGCCUCCCGCGAUUGGAAAGGAGGAAACGGCUUAGCUAA
Molecule: non-coding RNA, 123 nt
Filed under: Synergistales bacterium
Lineage: Bacteria; Thermotogati; Synergistota; Synergistia; Synergistales
Description: MoCo sequence
Rfam family: Molybdenum/Tungsten riboswitch aptamer (Moco RNA motif)
Source: RNAcentral